GUGUGUUAUUUUUAUUUCUAGUUAAGUUUUAUCUGAUCAAUGUAAGGAAUGCACGAAGAUUCACUGAUGCCACAGGGAGAUCAAUUUACAUCACAAAAGCAGUUAGACAUUGCUACAUCUGUUAUUUUGCCAGGAAUUCCCCCAAGUACAACUUUUGCUAGACGGUCUUUCCUGAAACCAUCUGAAAUCAUGAGUCAGUAUGUGCCAGCUGUAUUUAAGACCAAAGGCUUAAUGUAUCCACAUCUGGGGUAGGAGUCAGAUGUAAAACAAGCCCAACAUUGCCUUGGAAGUUCUAUAGGUUGCCAUGGAGACCAGGUGAUGCACACAUGCAAAUUCAGUGGCCGUGCAGAAGUUUCAAGAUCAGGGCGAGGGAAAAGACAGACAGUAAAUGACACUGCAGAGGCAACACUAACAAGCAAGGUUCUGCAGGGGCUGAACAUCAUAUUCAUCAAACUUUGGAGUUUGCCCUCAGAGAUCCCCCUCCUGGAGCAGGGGAAUUCCUGAUCUAUCGACUUCUGUGUCAAUAUUCAGAACUACAGUCAGGAGGACCGGCUUGUUUUCCCUUCUUCUCCAUACUCAAGAUGACACUAUAAUGAGAGAGUUGGCUGCAAAAUCCCUUACAAGAGAUGAUGGUCAUCACAGUCAGAGAUAUGUCAAAGCACAGGCAGUGCAGCCUGGGUGGAAAUGUGGUUUGGAAAUUCAGAAGGAGUUUACCACUUUGAUAACAGAUGCAUUGUGUCAUUUCUUCUGGUGGUCAUUUUGACAUCGAAGCAUUAACCUUGGAUUUUGCUAUUUCUUUUUAAUUUUAAUUCCCUUCUAUUUGGCCUUAUUAUUAAUCCUGAGAAGGCUUUUUUUUCUUUUUCAAAAAACACAAAUAUUUGGUAUUGAUCUUACCAGGGAGAACAGAAGAGUAUGGCCAUGUUACCUGAGAGGAGUUAGUGCUAUUGCAGCAUAGGGUGGAACAAUUGAGGCUUCAUUUGUGCAGGGAGAGAAUUCAGUCUUCUUCAAAGCUGAUCUCUCUGUGUGUGUGUGUGUGUGUGUGUGUGUGUGUGUGUGUGUGUGUGUGGUGUGUUUGUGUGUAUCUGCCUAAAAGCUAACACCAGGAUCUCAUUUUAUCUGUAAUUGAAACGUGAACUAAUGGAUUAAUAUUAUUAGUCUGUCACCUAUAGACAAAAAGAGAGUCUUCGGUGAUCAGAAAUCAACUUAAUAUACUCUAAGCACUUUUAACAUCUUACACCAUUUAAACCACACAGACACACGCAUGGGGUGAGUGUAAAAACAAAUAGACACAUCAUAGAAGACAAUUAGCAAUUUUGUCAGAAGUCUUAAAAUAUAUUUCCACUAUGCAUUCAUAUUUCACUUCUAAAAAUAUAUCCUAAGGAAAUAAUUUCAAUGCUGCAGUUAACUAUUGCUUCUGCCUGCCCUGGAAAGGUUGUUCCUUCUGCUACUGGCACCCAAAUUCCCUUUGGGAAUGUCUCUCUUGCCCACUCUCCAUCCAUGUGUUUAGGUGGGGCCAAUGCCUUCCUCUGCUCAGAGAGCAGCCCCAGUGUCAGGUCUAAGAAAUUAGUGAAUUUCAUCGUUUUGCAUUGUAAUCUGUUCAAAGCUGAGAAUAAGGAUCAGUUAAAUUCUAAGCCAGGGAUGUCCCAGAACGUUAAUAGAACUGUGGAAAUAAGGUCUCUUUUUAAUUACAUGUAUUGCUGGAAGGAUAUGAGCUUGGAAAGGUAGGGUACCACCACACGGAGAGAACCUAGCUAAAAAUGUAUCUGUCACAGAAAAUAGUAGGGCUGAGCACGUGAACCUAGGAUGGACUCCAGGCCUCUCUCACCGUCAGCUAGAAUCUUGGCUUGAGGAAGACAGACUUUCUAUGUGCAAUGCUGUGUCUCUGCUACCAAGAAUGUCACUUGGGAAAUGCUCAUAAAUGUCUGUGGGAUAAAGACUUUGGGGAACAAAAUCCUGAUGAGGCCCCUUGAGUACCUCAACGAAGCCAUUUCUGAAGCCAAUGUACUCCUUUCCAGUUAUGACAGUUAACAUAUUCUUGUGUGGGUGUGUGUUUGUUUUCUAGCUUAAGCCAGCUUGAAUUGGGUUCAUAACAAAUAAACAUUUCAAAUACAAGAAAU
Molecule: long non-coding RNA, 2117 nt
Filed under: Homo sapiens (human)
Lineage: Eukaryota; Metazoa; Chordata; Mammalia; Primates; Hominidae
Description: HSALNT0197201
Source: RNAcentral